UACGUAGGGUGCGAGCGUUAAUCGGAAUUACUGGGCGUAAAGUGUGCGCAGGUGGCCGCGCAAGUCGAGUGUGAAAUCCCCGAGCUUAACUUGGGAAUUGCGCUCGAAACUGGUAGGCUCGAGUACGGGAGAGGGGGGUGGAAUUCCUGGUGUAGGGGUGAAAUUCGUUGAUAUCAGGAGGAACACCGGCGGCGAAGGCGGCCCCCUGGCCCGCAACUGACGCUCAUGGUCGAAAGCGUGGGGAGCAAACAGG
This 253-nucleotide ribosomal RNA is filed under the name uncultured bacterium. Its description in RNAcentral is "partial 16S ribosomal RNA". It matches the Rfam family "Bacterial small subunit ribosomal RNA", at positions 524 to 776 of the family's 1533-position model. The record is from RNAcentral.